AAAUAAGAAGCAAUUCAUUGCAAUUAGUUUCGACCUAAUCUUUGAUAUUAAAUUAUCCUUAUUUA
RNAcentral lists this transfer RNA (65 nucleotides) under Ergaula capucina. RNAcentral describes it as "tRNA-Arg". Lineage: Eukaryota; Metazoa; Arthropoda; Insecta; Blattodea; Corydiidae. The record is from RNAcentral.